AGACCAAGAGAGAGAGGCAGGGUCUGAUCCACAGCCUCAGUGGCAGCUGUUGAUUAGCACUUGCCUCUCUCUUUCUCUUCC
Molecule: non-coding RNA, 81 nt
Organism: Myotis davidii
Lineage: Eukaryota; Metazoa; Chordata; Mammalia; Chiroptera; Vespertilionidae
Source: Rfam